AGCGAACGCUGGCGGCAGGCCUAACACAUGCAAGUCGAACGAAGUCUUCGGACUUAGUGGCGGACGGGUGAGUAACACGUGGGAACGUGCCUUUAGGUUCGGAAUAACUCAGGGAAACUUGUGCUAAUACCGAAUGUGCCCUUCGGGGGAAAGAUUUAUCGCCUUUAGAGCGGCCCGCGUCUGAUUAGCUAGUUGGUGAGGUAAAGGCUCACCAAGGCGACGAUCAGUAGCUGGUCUGAGAGGAUGAUCAGCCACAUUGGGACUGAGACACGGCCCAAACUCCUACGGGAGGCAGCAGUGGGGAAGCUUGCGCAAUGGGCGAAAGCCUGACGCAGCCAUGCCGCGUGAAUGAUGAAGGUCUUAGGAUUGUAAAAUUCUUUCACCGGGGACGAUAUGACGGUACCCGGAGAAGAAGCCCCGGCUAACUUCGUGCCAGCCGCCGCCGUAA
RNAcentral lists this ribosomal RNA (448 nucleotides) under uncultured bacterium. Its description in RNAcentral is "partial 16S ribosomal RNA". It matches the Rfam family "Bacterial small subunit ribosomal RNA", at positions 29 to 523 of the family's 1533-position model. The record is from RNAcentral.